This 705-nucleotide ribosomal RNA is filed under the name Neocalceostomoides spinivaginalis. RNAcentral's name for it is "eukaryotic LSU rRNA". It matches the Rfam family "Eukaryotic large subunit ribosomal RNA", at positions 140 to 634 of the family's 3401-position model. The record is from RNAcentral. Lineage: Eukaryota; Metazoa; Platyhelminthes; Monogenea; Dactylogyridea; Dactylogyridae.
GCAAUGUGGUGUUAAAGUUUCAACCUGGAUGCGCUAGUCUACUCGAAGUCCAAUUCCGAUUACGGCUUUGGAUUUAUACCUUAGAGGGUGAAAGGCCCGUUCGAGUAGACAUUACUGUUUUUUAGCGUGCCCCAGAUGUUGUUACUUUCGAGUCGGAUUGCUUGAGAAUGCAGUCCAAAGUGGGUGGUAAACUCCAUCCAAGGCUAAAUACUGGCACGAGUCCGAUAGUAGACAAGUACCGUGAGGGAAAGUUGAAAAGUACUCUGAAGAGAGAGUAAAUAGUACGUGAAGCUGCCUGCAAGGAAGCUGGUGGAGUCAAGCUUCUUAGGUUUGGAUUUGGUACAGAGAUAUUUUAUUGUUUACUGGCCAGUAGUGUAUCGGCUUGAAAAUGGCUGGGUAGAUUUUUCUACCUCAGGUGUUCCGGGCUGUACGCUUGUUGUGCAUUCUAUAUAUGGCCUUUUCUCUUGUACUGUAUCCUUGCCUUAACAUCACAGUCAAUGUGUAUGCAUUGUAUGAUAGUCUAACUGUGGCCUCUGUGAACUUGUGUUUACUGGCCAUGGAAUGGCAGGUAUAAAUAUAUAGAUCUCGGUCUAUAUGUUUCUUAUUAUGGUUUAAACACUUGCUGAUUAUCAUUUGUAUUAUAUAAUUAAUCAUACACAUUUUUCUUAUAUCACUAGUAAUCGUUAGAUUGCUAUGAUGAGAGCU